Long non-coding RNA from Myotis daubentonii (Daubenton's bat), 1435 nucleotides. RefSeq lists it as uncharacterized. The transcript is spliced from 2 exons. The record is from RefSeq and is a predicted model, not a curated record. Lineage: Eukaryota; Metazoa; Chordata; Mammalia; Chiroptera; Vespertilionidae.
UUUUGAAGUUUUUAAUUGCUGCCUCCAUUUAUCCCAAAUUCAAUUUGAUUAUUCUUUUGGUUCUGCCUUGUUUAUAUCUCAAAAUAAUUUACUUAUUAAUAUUCCUACUCUGGUCCAAGCCAUGAUCACCUCUUCUUUGACAAUAUCCUAUCCUUCCUACAUUCACUUUUGCCCUCCAGUCUUCACACAGCAACUAAAAUAUUUUAAAAACUCAGAUCUCAUAAUGUAAGUCCUUCCUUAAAAAUCACAAAGGUUUUCUCCUGACUUAAAGUCCAGUUAUCACCAUUAUGGUUUAUAUAUGGUCCUAUGGAAUCUGACUCCUAUUUUAAUUGUCUAACUUACCCUGGCUUCCUUAUGCCAUAACCAUAAAAGUUUGUUUUCAUUGCUGUGAAGUUCCUAUGACUUUAUCAACUUACCACACUCUGCCUGAAACAUUUCUCUAGGGUUCACCUUACUGCUGCUCUCAUCUUUUAGGUUUCAGCUUCAACUCACUUUGUCAGAGAAAUCUUUCCUGGUCCUCCCAAAGUAGGUUAAGUCUUCUAGAUAUAUGCUCUCAUUGUACCUUGUAAUUUUUCUGUGGCUUUCAUCAUAGUCAUUUACUUGACAUUUAUCUUCCUUGUUAGAUAUAGACCUCAUAAGGAUUUUUGUCCUGUUCAGUGAUUAAUUCCCAGCACUCUGCUCCUUCCCUGGGGAUACUAGCAUUCAUUCAUUUACUGGAUGGUUGAAAGAAAGGGCAUAUUAAGAAUAUAAAACAUGAUAAAACAAAUGCUGUAGAGUGAGAACAGACCUUUUUAUUCAUAUACUGAGAUAAACUUCAGAGACUGAAAGAAAAAAAUCAAAUCACUCAGCAGAACAUUCAUUAAAAUUCAUUCUUGAACAGAGUUCUCACAAAAAAUUUAAGUCUGAUAUAACAUUAAAUAUUUUACAAAUCAGACAUUUCAUUUAAAUCUAAUCGUAUAAUCUUGAGUGCACUAUAGACAAAGAUUUCCUUGACCGGUUUCACUUCAUUUAACUAAUACAAGGCUUCCAUUAAAAUCCUACCACACCUUGAAAAUUACCUGCAGCUUUUAAAGACACAUGACUUAAACUUAAAUGGAAAGUCUUAUGUAGCAAUCCAGAAAAAAAAAAAAUAGGUAGGAAGCAUUUCUUAAUACAAAUAAAUUGUAAAAUAUCAUUUAUCUGUGAGUUUCUUCUCAUUGGCAUAGUUAUCCAACUAAAACAAUUCAUUUUGAAAUUGGUGCUUAAAAUACUCCAAUGUCACUGGGAGAUGCCUAUCACUUUAGAAGUGCUCUUAAAUGGCAACUCUCAGACGGGAAAGUCCCGGUUCCUGUGCUGCAGUGACGGAGACCCGUUCAUAUUCAUGCCAGGCAACAUCUGUUAGGCAGUUACUAGACAGCUUGGCAACCAGUAAUCCCAAUUUUCAAUAACAUACUAA